This 492-nucleotide ribosomal RNA is filed under the name uncultured bacterium. RNAcentral describes it as "partial 16S ribosomal RNA". It matches the Rfam family "Bacterial small subunit ribosomal RNA", at positions 29 to 507 of the family's 1533-position model. The record is from RNAcentral.
AGUGAACGCUGGCGGUAGGCCUAACACAUGCAAGUCGAACGGCAGCACAGUAAGAGCUUGCUCUUACGGUUGGCGAGUGGCGGACGGGUGAGGAAUACAUCGGAAUCUACUUUUUCGUGGGGGAUAACGUAGGGAAACUUACGCUAAUACCGCAUACGACCUACGGGCGAAAGCAGGGGAUCUUCGGACCUUUCGCGAUUGAAUGAGCCGAUGUCGGAUUAGCUAGUUGGCGGGGUAAAGGCCCACCAAGGCGACGAUCCGUAGCUGGUCUGAGAGGAUGAUCGGCCACACUGGAACUGAGACACGGUCCAGACUCCUACGGGAGGCAGCAGUGGGGAAUAUUGGACAAUGGGCGAAAGCCUGAUCCAGCCAUGCCGCGUGGGUGAGGAAGGCCUUCGGGUUGUAAAGCCCUUUUGUUGGGAAAGAAAAGCGGCAGAUUAAUACCCCGCUGUUCUGACGGUACCCAAAGAGAAAGCACCGGCUAACUUCGUG